UAGGGAAUCUUCGGCAAUGGACGAAAGUCUGACCGAGCAACGCCGCGUGAGUGAAGAAGGUUUUCGGAUCGUAAAACUCUGUUGUUAGAGAAGAACAAGGACGUUAGUAACUGAACGUCCCCUGACGGUAUCUAACCAGAAAGCCACGGCUAACUACGUGCCAGCAGCCGCGGUAAUACGUAGGUGGCAAGCGUUGUACGGCUUUAUUGGGCGUAAAGCGAGCGCAGGCGGUUUCUUAAGUCUGAUGUGAAAGCCCCCGGCUCAACCGGGGAGGGUCAUUGGAAACUGGGAGACUUGAGUGCAGAAGAGGAGAGUGGAAUUCCAUGUGUAGCGGUGAAAUGCGUAGAUAUAUGGAGGAACACCAGUGGCGAAGGCGGCUCUCUGGUCUGUAACUGACGCUGAGGCUCGAAAGCGUGGGGAGCAAACAGG
This 429-nucleotide ribosomal RNA is filed under the name Gemmatimonadota bacterium. RNAcentral describes it as "Gemmatimonadetes bacterium partial 16S ribosomal RNA". It matches the Rfam family "Bacterial small subunit ribosomal RNA", at positions 355 to 776 of the family's 1533-position model. Lineage: Bacteria; Pseudomonadati; Gemmatimonadota. The record is from RNAcentral.